Molecule: long non-coding RNA, 266 nt
Organism: Etheostoma spectabile (orangethroat darter)
Lineage: Eukaryota; Metazoa; Chordata; Actinopteri; Perciformes; Percidae
Exons: 3
Source: RefSeq, a predicted model, not a curated record
AUACAAAAAAGAAUUUGGAAAAAAGUUUCAACACUGCAAAGUGAAAAAGUUCAGUGCCUUACCUUCAACACGAGCGACUGGAACUGAAGCAACUAUUGAGGUUGUGUUCAAUAGGAGUACUCCUAUAGCAGAUCUCCCACAGAAUAAUGUUGUUGCUGAAAUCUUAAAAAAAGCUGUGACUAAUACCAACAAUACGUUCAAUGUGAGCAUAAAUCCGGACUCAGUCAAAAUACUAGAAGGUCCAGUUCCAGGUACAACCACCGGAC